GAUUCUCUAGUAUAUUUUAGUACAUUUGACUUCCAAUCAGAAAGAUUUGAGGAUUA
Molecule: transfer RNA, 56 nt
Filed under: Oscheius chongmingensis
Lineage: Eukaryota; Metazoa; Nematoda; Chromadorea; Rhabditida; Rhabditidae
Description: tRNA-Gly
Source: RNAcentral